RNAcentral lists this ribosomal RNA (397 nucleotides) under Klebsiella sp. LGI4RL. RNAcentral's name for it is "bacterial SSU rRNA". It matches the Rfam family "Bacterial small subunit ribosomal RNA", at positions 989 to 1378 of the family's 1533-position model. Lineage: Bacteria; Pseudomonadati; Pseudomonadota; Gammaproteobacteria; Enterobacterales; Enterobacteriaceae. The record is from RNAcentral.
CACAGGAACUUAGCAGACAUGCUGUUGAUGCCUUCGGGAACUGUGAGACAGGUGCUGUAUGGCUGUCGUCAGCUCGUGUUGUGAAAUGUUGGGUUUAGUNCCGGAAGGAUUGCAACCCUUUAUCCUUUUGUUGCCAGCGGUUCNGGCCGGGAACUGCAAAGGAGACUGCCAGUGAUAAACUGGAGGAAGGUGGGGAUGACGUCNAGUCAUCAUGGCCCUUACGACCAGGGCUACACACGUGCUACAAUGGCAUAUACAAGAGAGAAGCGACCUACGCGAGAGCAAGCGGACCUCAUNAAGUAUGUCGUAGUCCGGAUUGGAGUCUGCCAACUCGACUCCAUGAAGUCGCAAUCGCUGUAAUCGUAGAUCAGAAUGCUACGGGUAAUACGUUCCCGGG